AGUGAACGCUGGCGGUAGGCCUAACACAUGCAAGUCGAACGGCAGCACAGUAAGAGCUUGCUCUUACGGGUGGCGAGUGGCGGACGGGUGAGGAAUACAUCGGAAUCUAUUUUUUCGUGGGGGAUAACGUAGGGAAACUUACGCUAAUACCGCAUAAGACCUACGGGUGAAAGCAGGGGAUCUUCGGACCUUGCGCGAUUGAAUGAGCCGAUGUCGGAUUAGCUAGUUGGCGGGGUAAAGGCCCACCAAGGCGACGAUCCGUAGCUGGUCUGAGAGGAUGAUCAGCCACACUGGAACUGAGACACGGUCCAGACUCCUACGGGAGGCAGCAGUAGGGAAUAUUGGACAAUGGGCGAAAGCCUGAUCCAGCAAUACCGCGUGGGUGAAGAAGGUCUUCGGGUUGUAAAGCCCUGUUGUUGGAAAAGAAAAGCAGCAUGUGUAUACACGGCUGUUCUGACGGUACCCAAACAAUAAGCACCGGCUAACUUCGUG
Molecule: ribosomal RNA, 492 nt
Filed under: uncultured bacterium
Lineage: Bacteria
Description: partial 16S ribosomal RNA
Rfam family: Bacterial small subunit ribosomal RNA
Source: RNAcentral